CUCUCUCUCUCUCUCUCUCUCUCUCUCUCUCUCUCUCUCUCUCUCUCUCUCUCUCUCUCUCUCUCUCUCUCUCUCUCUCUGAUUCUAAGCUAUGGUUUUGAUUCGAAAACUCGGAAUCAGAAUCAAUGGCUUGCCUCUUCUCCACUCUCUUCUUCCAUAUGCCUUCGACGGAGUUGCCACCGGCGACGACCACCGCAAAUCAGAGCUUCUGCAACUCAUCAACGAUGUCGUUGAUGCUUCACCGAUCUGGUGCGGCGGAUCGCAUUUUCUCAAGGAGAUCAACCACUUCAAAGGCCAUGAAUUGUCGCUCUCGAAUGCUUCGAGUUAUCCAUGCUCGAUCGAGCAUUGGGUGACAUAGGCGUGCUUGUAGAUCUUAGUUACGACGAUGUUCUGGAGGUUGUGGAUGUCGAUGAUUGCAGGGAUAGAUCUACAGGUGGAUGUUCAUUUUCAGUUUGGUUUUAUAAUUGUUGAUAAUUGAAUUCAUUUGGGUGCUAUGAUUGUAUGGUUAAUUAAUGUGUGGAGGAAUGAAGUUAUUGCUACUGGAGGUGCUUUGGUGGUGUUAUUCCACUGUUGAAGUAUACUAAGAAAGGUAAGGGAGGAAAGUAGAUUUGGAUCUCAGUCGGCAGUAGCAGCUCUGUGGUUAACAGUAGCAGCCAGUAGAAAUACGUUUUAAUAAGCAGUAGCAUCAACAGUAACAGUAGCAGCUUCCUAAUAAUCGGCAACAGUAGCAGAGCCUUCCAGUAGACAAUAGCAGAGCCUUUCAGUCUGGAGCAGGAGAAGGCAGUAGCAGAAGUGGAGGAUAAGACAGUGGCAGAGUUAACCUUCAUUAUCUAGUCUUCAUUGAUGUGUGUUGUUGUGUGUUGUUGUGUGCUGCUACUGCGUGCGCUAUUGUUGUAUGCUGCCACUGCAUGUUGUUGAUGUGUGUUGCUACUGUGUGUGUUGUUGAUAUGUGAUGCUACUACGUGAGCCAUUGAAAACAUGCUACUGCACUUACUGAAAUUGCUACUGCACUAGCUGAACCACUAAAACCUUGCUACUACAUCUGUUGGAAGUGUAGCUUUCUAGCAAAACAUGCUAUUACAUUAGCUAAGCCACUGAAAAUCUGCUAUUACUUCUAGUGGGAUGUUAACCUCUGCUACUAUUUUCUACUGGAAUGUUAACCCCUGCUACUACUUCUACUGGAAUUAACUACUAAUACUACUGGGAUGUUAACCCCUGCUACUACGUCUACUGGAAUUAACUGUUAUUACUACUGGGGUGUUAACCGGUACCCCUGCUACUACUUCUAUUAGGAUGUUAACUCUUGCUACUACUUCUACUGGAAUUAACUGCUAAUACACUAAGGUAUUAAAAACCUGCUACUAUAUUCCAUUUACUGAAAAAUCUCAAAAUGAGAGACUGUUUUCUUCUAAAAGCAUAUUUAAUUAGUGUAGGGUUAGUUUGGUAAAUUAAAUCAUGACACAUGACAUGCAGAGAAAAGAUUGUCCUUAAUUGUUAAAAACUAUCCUUAUUUGUUUAACAACAACACAAAUGGAUUUAUUUGUAUUUCAAAUCCUUUUGGAGGAUGUAUAUGUGAUUUGCUAAAAAAAAAACCAGAAAAGAAAAAUAAUUCCUCCGGCCCAAGAGGAGACAAGGUAGGUCUAGGCGGUCCACGUGAUGUGGGCUUUCACGGGAUGUAGGGUCCACCGUUUUAAAAAAAAAAAAAAGUAGAAUUGGUUUAGUUCGACCCGACCCAGAUCAACAAGCUCUCGCAUGCUGCUUCUGAAUCUUGAAGGGCAUAUGUCCAAGAGUCUGUUGUAGAGCUAUGCAGUAUUGCAAUACGUAGAAUAGUUUCUAGCUUCUUUAAAAUUCUGCAUUGCUUUGCAUUUCUUUCCAAACCAGCUUUGUGAGUGAGCAAUGGUGGACCUAGGAUUUUAGGUUGGGGUGGGAUAAAUUUUUUUUCUUAAAGUUCUUUAAUUUGUUUUCUUCUAUAUUUUACAUAUCACAUUUUAAAUUAAAAACAUAUCAAAUAAUCACAUAGUUAACUGAUCAUUAAAUUUCUUAAAGUUCUUUAAUUUUUUUCUUCUAUAUUUUACAUAUCACAUUUUAGAUUAAAAAUAUAUCAAAUAAUCAUAUAGUUAACUGAUCAUUAAGAAAUCAAUAUUAUAACAUUUUAUAGAAAUUCGAUAAUAAAAGUUAAAGAUAAAAGAACAUACCUACUCAAAUUGAACCCUACGCUCUUGAAUAGAAACAAAAGCUAAUAACUAAGCACACAAUCACCGCUCUAACAAUACAGUAAACGAGUGUGUAAUCUUUAAACCUAACUAGACGAAAAAACACAAUCUAAUAACUAUGAAACAAAUGUUGGUACUAUUACAACUAUAUAUCUAUAUAUAUACACAUCAUUAGCAUUAGUCAUCUACAAUAAAAUAAGCAAACAAUUGAGAUUAGAAUUAGAAUAUCAAUAGAAAUACAGUGUGAUGGGAUGAUGGGAUAUUGAGUCUAUCAAGGCAUUAAUCAAUUGAGAUUUGAGAUGAUGGGAUAUUGGGACUAAAUUUGAUCAAGGCAUUAAUCAAUUGAGAUUUGAGAACUAGGUCAUAUGACACGUACAAGACUCCAAGAGGAUGACCGAUAUAACUAAGAAUCAUACAUGCAGAUUAAAGAGAGAAAACUUGGCACUUGGCUUAGAAUUAGUAAGCAAAUAAUUGAGAAAAGAAUUAGAAUAUCAAUAGAAAUAAAGUGUGAUGGGAUGAUGAGAUAUUGAGACUAUCAAGGCAUUAAUCAAUUGAGAUUUUGAGAUGAUGGGAUAUUGGGACUAAAUUUGACCAAGGCAUUAAUCAAUUGAGAUUUGAGAACUAGGUCAUAUGACACGUACAAGACUCCAAGAGGAUGACCGAUAUAACUAAGAAUCAUACCUGCAAAUUAAAGAGAGAAAGCUUGGCACUUGACUUAAAAUUAGUAAGCAACACGUACAAGACUCCAAGAGGAUGACCGAUAUAACUAAGAAUCAUACAUGCAGAUUAAAGAGAGAAAGCUUGGCACUUGACUUAAAAUUAGUAAGCAAGCAAUUGAGGUUAGAAUUAGAAUAUCGAUAGAAACACAGUGCGAUGGGAUGAUGGGAUAUUAAGACUAUCAAGGCAUUAAUCAAUUGAGAUUUGAGAUGAUGAGAUAUUGGGACUAAAUUUGAUCAAGGCAUUAAUCAAUUGAGAUUUGAGAACUAGGUCAUAUGACACGUACAAGACCCUCCAAGAGGAUGACCAAUAUAACUAAGAAUCAUACCUGCAGAUUAAAGAGAGAAAACUUGGCACUUAGCUUAGCUGCUUCGGUAGAAGAGAAAGGAGACGUAUACAACGACAAAGAAAAAGAAAUAAAGAAAAGAAAGUUGACCUAAAAUAUACUAAUAGAGCAACUGCUUUUAAUAAAAUAAACAAUAUAUAUGUAAUCAAAUAAAAAAAAUCAUAUGGACUAAGUUCAAUUACAUAAAGAAAUUUGGGGUGGGCUGGUUUU
RNAcentral lists this long non-coding RNA (3486 nucleotides) under Fragaria vesca (wild strawberry). RNAcentral's name for it is "long non-coding RNA (FVES_LNC001227)". Lineage: Eukaryota; Viridiplantae; Streptophyta; Magnoliopsida; Rosales; Rosaceae. The record is from RNAcentral.